Nicotiana tabacum (common tobacco) is the source of this 3730-nucleotide non-coding RNA. Lineage: Eukaryota; Viridiplantae; Streptophyta; Magnoliopsida; Solanales; Solanaceae. The record is from RefSeq and is a predicted model, not a curated record.
UUGCAACUGAAAUAAGGCAUUUAAGCUACUAAAUUACAUAGUUGUGAGAAAACUUUGCACCGGUUUAUCUACAUUGUUAGUUGUAGUUAUGCACAAUUGUUGCUUAGUAAUUUCUGCACAAGUUGCAUCAGUUGAGAUACUAGCUUGGGACAGUUGAUAUUGGUAUAAAAUUGGUUUAGAUAAAAGAACUAGGGACUACCAAAAUCUGCAGAUAGAACCUUCAGUUUGGAGCAGUGUUUGGCAGCCAGAAUCUGCAAGGUUUGAAUGCGAUUUCUGCACUAUUUGAGCCACAAUUUUCUGCUGAAUUACUUUAUAGUUGUUGCUGAAUUUCGAGUGUAUUUUGAAGAAAGUGCCUAGAAGUUUCAGCAUUCACUUUCCUUUAGCAUUUGUUGCUGUUUAGGAUCCAUUUUGAGAAGUUUUGCCCAGAAAAUUCUACCAAGAAGGGUUUUGGAUUAGUGAGUCACUUGGGUCAUGUUUUGAGAUGCAGAAUUGCAGCACUUCUGUCAACUUCAGGACUAUUGUUAACUGCUUGAGUUACUGCAUAUUUUGAAGUUAAGACUACAUCAGUUCACCACCAGCUUUGGUGUCCAACUUUCACUAAGGAUUUUGGGCAUCAGUUGCACAUGUUUCAGCUCCAGUUUUGCUGAAACUCCCAGAUUAUUUUGCUAAGCUUUUGAGUCUAAAUACCCGAGGGAAGUAUGUUCUAAAGUGUGGUGACUGAUUUUGCAAUUUCUGCACAAUUGAGUUUGCUAAGGAGAUCACCAACAGUCUACAAAUCUCUACAACUGCCCAGUUUUGCAAAUCUGACCAUUUUUGCAAAUAUGUUCAGUUUUUGCGAAUCUGACCAAAAUUUGAGAGAGUGUCUAGAUUUGUAGUUUCUUUUCUUUUCUUUCUUCCAAUUUGUAGAAACUAAACUCUAAACUUGAUACAAGCCGGAUGAGCACGCUUAACGAGGAUGAAUUCCUAGUCAACGUCAUAGCAUUAGAGUGCUUUAAAGGAGUCAAGAAGGCUAUAUUUGCAAUUUAGCUAUUUAGGCUAGAUUUAGCUUCAUUUACUAGCUAAGAGUAUUUUGGUCAUUUAGCCUAAAUAACACUCUAAUAUAAAUAUUUCUUUCUCAUUUUGAAACGGGGCUUUUGCUGAUGGAUUGAUAAACUAAGACCAAACAUUGAGAUAUUUAGAGUAUCUUUUAUUUAUCUUUAUUUACCAUGUGUUCUAGAUUAUCUAUGUUAGGUUUAUCAUAUAUGAGUUCACGUUUAUACUCUUGGAUUAUCUUUUGUAUUUGAAUGUUAAUUCGUUGUUCUAGUUUAUAUAUCUUCCGGGGGCUUUGAAAUUCAUUCUUUUACUUAGCUUAAUCCGUAUUUCUUAUUAGUGUUCUUCUUCGAUUAGUGUUUAUCAUAGUAAAUUCAAGGGGUCUAACUAGUUCAUAGUUAUGUUCUCGUAUUUCUCUAUUUUAAACCCUAAUCUCCUAUCUUUUUGAUUCUGUGUAUUUUUUCAUUAUUCAUAUUCUCUAUACGAUUUCGUAUCAUCUUGGUAUCAGAGCGGAGGUUUUGGAUUGUUGUAUCUAUGUCUUUGUUUUGAUUAUCAUCAAAAUCUGAAAAUAAUAAAUAAAUAAAUUGAAAAUUCCAAAAAAGGGAAAGAUUACUACUGUACAUCUGACUAUUUUGAGACUAAAAUUAGAAAUCCAUGUCUCUCUGUGCUUGAAAUUUUGAUUCAGAAAAUUAUUGAAUCCACUGAAAUUGAUUGAUUUUAAGUGGAUAUCGUUGGAUUCCUUGGAUUGUAGUUCGAGUUUCACUGCUGAAAAUCUCCAUUUGCGACUUUGAAGUUUAUCGACUUAGCUCAGAUUUGAAUUUCGUUGAGGAUUUGAGUUUGAAUUCGAUUGGGUGUUCAUGAUUCUGGUUGGAAAAAUCAUUGUGAAGCACAAUCUAAAGUGUGGGAUCGAUUUGGGCUAGUUUUGCUAGCGUUUCAUUCAGAAAAUUCGAACAAAUUGUUUGACGAAGAAGACGAAUUUAGAUCUUUCGAUUUUGCUGUUGUUUGCUCAAAUUAAUCACUGGGGUUUGGUAUUGGGGUUGGUUAGAGUUAUCAUUUCAAGUUUGAAAUUAUUUAGUGAAGAUUUGGGUGAGAUUGGAUCGUCUUGGGGCUGCUAAAGCACGAAGAAUACUUCCAGUUCUUCAGUCGAUAAACUUAGAACAGAUUGCAAUUUCUGGGUUCAAAAUUUGAAGUCGAGCAUCACCACACAAACAAUUCGCCUCCCUGAUUCAGCUUGUUGCCCGUUUGUGGUGCCUUGUUCUUUUCCAGAAGACUUAUUUGGCUGAUAGAAUCUACAGAGCCUGUUUGCAUCAGUUGUUUUGCACCAGUCUUUUUUCCACAUUUUUGGAGGUGAAUUGAAUUGGUUUUGGACCAAGACAGGAAGCUGCUAACUCUAGACCUUUGAGCUGCUGAAAUUGCAGCUUUAGAUAGCAUUUUGAGUUCGGAAAUCAUUGGCUUUGGGCUGAUUUCUGUAGCAUGUGACAACCCUUCUGGAAAUUGAAGUACUCAGCUGUUUUUGAACCAUUUAAGCUGCAGCUCCUUUCCAUGUUCCCUGUGUACACAACAUAUUGAAAACAAAUUGCUUGGUUGACUAUUUUGGUUUAGCCAAAGAUUAAGUUGUUUUUGAUCAGUUUGAGCAGUAACUUGUCAGCAUUUUCUGCACUAUUUGAGCAGCAAUUCCACAGUAAGAUCUACAACAACUUGAACAGCAGAAAAAAACUGCACAAUUGAGCAGAAACUUUCAGGACUGCUGCUGCUGCUAGUUCUAGCCUUGAAUUCUACCUUGAGCCAGUUGUAAAGGCUCUGGGCAUCAAUUUUGCACUCGGUUACAGUGCACCAGUUGUGUACCUGUUCUCCUCAGUAUUUUGCACCAGCUGAGCAGCUGAAAUUUGCAGCUUUAGCCAGCAUCUUAGCUGGGAAAUCAGUAGGUUGUUGGAACUAUUUGACAUAGCUUUGGCCAAACUUUGAACUUGAAAACUUUGAUCUUUGUUAAGCCGCAGUACUGCAAUUCUGCUGUCAAAAAUAUUUCUGGAGAAAACCAGAUUUCUUUCCACAGUUUUGAAGCUGUUUUUUGGCUGGAAAAGGUUCUGUAAUAGUUCAGUUUUGGUGAGAUACAGUCCAUCCUUUCUGCAGAGUGUUAAAGUUAGUCUGGAAGAGAUCAGGAUCUGCAGAAGUUGUGCACCAGCAGAGAAUUCAAGAACAUCUGCAGAAGACUAACUUCAGUCUUGCCGAAUCAGAUGAACAAAAGUUGUUCAAGAUUUUGCACCAGUUGAAUUAGUUACAUUGUUGCUUAGUAACUUCUGCAAGAUGCACUAGUGUGAGUCAGUUUGAACUGCAGUAUGCUGAUCAGUUAGCUGCACCUUUUGCUAUAUAUCUUUAGGGAAUUGAGACUAUUUUUUCAGGGAAUUGAGACACUAGCUUGGGACAAUUGGCUAAAGCUUUUGCACUUGACGGAGAAACAGUAGCACAGAACAGCUACUGCUAGCCUGCACAGCCUUGCAAACCUGUCCGAAUUUUACAGAUGUGUCCAGUUCUGCAAAAUGACAUGUUUUACAAAAAUAGCCAAUUUUGCGAAUAUGACCCAAAUUUGAAAAAAAAGAGUCUAGUUUUGUAGUUUCUUUUCUUUUCUUUCUUUCGAUUUAUAGUUAACUAAGUUCUAAACUAGAUUAACUUGAUAUUAGUUCAUAUUAUUUCUAGUUUCUUG